UGGGGAAUAUUGCACAAUGGGCGCAAGCCUGAUGCAGCCAUGCCGCGUGUAUGAAGAAGGCCUUCGGGUUGUAAAGUACUUUCAGCGGGGAGGAAGGUGUUGAGGUUAAUAACCUCAGCAAUUGACGUUACCCGCAGAAGAAGCACCGGCUAACUCCGUGCCAGCAGCCGCGGUAAUACGGAGGGUGCAAGCGUUAAUCGGAAUUACUGGGCGUAAAGCGCACGCAGGCGGUCUGUCAAGUCGGAUGUGAAAUCCCCGGGCUCAACCUGGGAACUGCAUUCGAAACUGGCAGGCUAGAGUCUUGUAGAGGGGGGUAGAAUUCCAGGUGUAGCGGUGAAAUGCGUAGAGAUCUGGGGGAAUACCGGUG
Molecule: ribosomal RNA, 367 nt
Filed under: uncultured bacterium
Lineage: Bacteria
Description: partial 16S ribosomal RNA
Rfam family: Bacterial small subunit ribosomal RNA
Source: RNAcentral